CUUGAUUGAGGGCGUAGAAGGUUCAGUUUUUGGAAUAAUGCUCUUUUCUCCAGUCACAUCUGAUUUCUCUUCAUCAUGUUGCUUUCUUCUUUUCAUCACCAAGAGGGUUCAAUAAGAUUCAACCGAAACAACGGUGUUUCAGCCCCAAGUAGAGCAAACAACUUCCAGCCUUAGGAGAGAUGGUUUUCUGCCAUCAAAGAGAGUGUAAGCAGAGAAUAGAAAGAGCCACGUGACUUCCAAGAAAGCCAAGGAACG
Molecule: long non-coding RNA, 255 nt
Filed under: Capsella rubella
Lineage: Eukaryota; Viridiplantae; Streptophyta; Magnoliopsida; Brassicales; Brassicaceae
Description: long non-coding RNA (CRUB_LNC001588)
Source: RNAcentral